This is a long non-coding RNA of Mus musculus (house mouse), 1822 nucleotides long. RefSeq annotates it as predicted gene, 32377. The transcript has 4 exons. The record is from RefSeq and is a predicted model, not a curated record. Lineage: Eukaryota; Metazoa; Chordata; Mammalia; Rodentia; Muridae.
AAAGAAUAGCUAGUAGCUUGUCAAGGAGAGGGGAAAGCCAUCCUCAGCCCAUCUCUUACUCUCUGCUAAUAUUUUUGCUGUGAGCAAAAUGGAUGUGACACGGCCCAUCCCACAUGAACCUCCAUUGACAAUUCUUAGCCAGGCAAACACCACCACGCUGUCUCCUGCCACAGCUCUGUCUUUUAUGGCUCCUGACAAAAGGUUGUUGGAUUCUGCGUUGACAAACAUUAACAUGCAGUACAGUCAUUAGACAAACAGUAUGAUUUGGGGGUCAAUCCUUGUUUCCCUAAAGUUUCCUCAGGUUAUAAUUCACUCUUCCUCUCAGGCUAUCUCAUCUUAGCUCUCUUACACUUGCCUACAUUCAUUGGGCUAGCCAUGGAGGCAAUGCAUUCUGCCACAGCCUCCUAUCACGGCCACUAGUUUUUCUUUAAAAACUUAGAAAUGGGGAGAUGCAGAGGUCAUGAGAGUUCUGCACUCACCGAGAAGCACUAGGAGGGAAGAGUCUGGAAUAAUCCUUCUGGGGAAUUGGUGUGAGGUCUGUCCCUACAGACCGCAGAAAGGUCACCAGGUCACAAACCUCUUCCAGCCUCAACUUUCUGGAUGGAAUGCAGGUAUUUGGUUUUCUCUCCUCCAUGAGGAGACCCCCCUGCAUAAUUAACAUUCCUGGUUCUUUAGUGUUUCUCUGUGAGUGCAAGGCCCUUGUGUCCACUACAGGUGUGGGCCCAAGCUUGGUGUAUGGAAGGUGGUGGAUUGUGUUGAAAGGUGGGACCCAGUGGGAAGUCUUCAGAUCACUGGGGACCUUCCUGUAGGAGAGACAGUGGGGACCCUUUGUUUUCUUUCUUCCUGGACCUAGUCUGACCAACUUUGCUCUGCCAUACAUAUGCACAGUGGUGUGCUACCUUGCCACAGAGAUCUCCUUCCUGCCCUAAAAAAAUAGUGCUAGAUAAGCAUGAAUUAGAAGCUCCACAUAACCACAUUGUAAGUAGAUUGUCUCAGGUAUUUGUGGCAGGGAUGGAGACAUGACUAAUAUGGUUUGUAGCAACAAGUGAAGUUGGUGGCGUUGCAAUAUCCAUUCUUGAGAGAGGUAUGGAUGACAGAGAAUGGUCCUCAUCCUCCCACAGUCUGCAGAGCAUAAGAAAGAAUGUUCUUAAAACUAAAACACAGCAAAUCUGGUUUCUACUAAACAGACCUGCUGCAAUGCAUCAAUGUUAGUGCUAAAAAGCAAGAGUACAAGCCACCAAUGAAAUGAGAUGAAGUUUUUUGUGGCCCAAAUAGGCACCAAAUUCUUUAAGCUCCUGCACGUUCCCAGGAUCCAGCCUUGGUCCAAGGCCCUUUCUGAGCACAGGAGCAUUAGCCUCCAGCCUCACACUGGGACGUCAGUCUUCAGUGCCUACCCCAGAGUAAGAUCUCAUCUUCCAGCCAUUCUGCUCUGGUCUUAGGUGGCCAGUUUACAAGUCCAAGUAAACACUGUUAGAGGUGUGUUGCAUCCUGAGAAGAACUGUACCUGGAUUGACCUCUGGCUUCUUGCAUUUGCUUGGCAGAGGCAUGGGAAGCCAAUUUGGAUCAAACAUAUGAUGUACAUUUAUGAAUAGUGAAGUCUAUUGUCCUGCCAUAUCUGCAGCUUCCUGCAAGAAGCCACUACCUGCUGAGCUGCUGAGCUUGUCUUCCUGACGAGAUCCUGUUAAUCUGUUUCCACUCUUCCAAUUUCUGAAAGAUACUGACAUAGAAGCUGACAUAUCAGAAGACCAGGCAUGACAAAGUUUCUUCUUGUAUGUUUCUUAUCUUCAGUAUUCCUGAAAUAAAAUAAGAAGUCUGUAACAUG